RNAcentral lists this ribosomal RNA (302 nucleotides) under uncultured bacterium. Its description in RNAcentral is "bacterial SSU rRNA". It matches the Rfam family "Bacterial small subunit ribosomal RNA", at positions 355 to 670 of the family's 1533-position model. The record is from RNAcentral.
UGGGGAAUAUUGGGCAAUGGGGGAAACCCUGACCCAGCAACGCCGCGUGAAGGAAGAAGGCCUUCGGGUUGUAAACUUCUUUUAGCAGGGACGAAGGACGUGACGGUACCUGCAGAAAAAGCAACGGCUAACUACGUGCCAGCAGCCGCGGUAAUACGUAGGUUGCAAGCGUUGUCCGGAAUUACUGGGUGUAAAGGGCGUGUAGGCGGAGAUGCAAGUUGGGAGUGAAAUCCAUGGGCUCAACCCAUGAACUGCUUUCAAAACUGCAGUCCCUUGAGUAUCGGAGAGGCAAGCGGAAUUCC